GGAGGAGUGGCCGAGUCCGGUUUAAGGCGGCGGUCUUGAAAACCGUAGUGGGUAACACCACCGUGGGUUCGAAUCCUACCUCCUCCG
Molecule: transfer RNA, 87 nt
Filed under: Deferribacteraceae bacterium
Lineage: Bacteria; Pseudomonadati; Deferribacterota; Deferribacteres; Deferribacterales; Deferribacteraceae
Description: tRNA-Ser
Rfam family: tRNA
About the family: Transfer RNA (tRNA) molecules are approximately 80 nucleotides in length. Their secondary structure includes four short double-helical elements and three loops (D, anti-codon, and T loops).
Source: RNAcentral